Molecule: non-coding RNA, 3362 nt
Organism: Acinonyx jubatus (cheetah)
Lineage: Eukaryota; Metazoa; Chordata; Mammalia; Carnivora; Felidae
Source: the annotation of a RefSeq genome assembly
GCAGCCCUGCUGGGGCCUUUAUUUUCUACUCCUGUCUGUGGGGUUUUCUGGGCAUCGAUGGCUGGUCCUCAGGACUGUCCUCCAGGGACAGGCUGGCCGGGAGGGGACGAGAGCUGGGUGCCUUAGGGAUUUCAGAGCCUCCUGAUUUUCUGAUGCUUUUCUAAAACUGGAAUAGUGCCAGCAUGUCCGGGGCAGUAACUGAGCCCCUGAAGAGGGGCUGGAGGCUGGACAGGCCAUGUGUGGGUGAGUUGCCGGGACCCCCAUGGCCACAGGACAGUGUGGCUGUGGCAGGAGAGGUCUCGCUAUCUGGAUCCUGGUGUCGGCUCACGAGUGUGUGUGGGCAGCUGUGUUUGGAGUGCCACAAGAGUGCCACACAGAGAGCGCGCCGUGAAAGACUUUUUUCGGAAUGAGGAGUGGUGUUCUGUGCUUACAAUUCUUGGUCAACUGCAAGGACUAGGCGCCUAGGAAGGGCAGGCCUGGGGCCACCGAGCUCGGCUCAGUGCGGGCAGCUUCUGGGAGAAGACAGCUUGCUCCCUGUGACAGGCGCGAUAACUAUCAAAGGACAGGGUGUGUCUGAAGUGGCUCCUGAGAAAAAUAAUUAAGACCACUGAGACUUUAAAAUGUGAGAGAUUUUCGAGCAUGCCAAACUUUUUAAUCCUAUCAGUCAAUUAGCAAGCAUGAAUCAUGUCUUUCUGGAGUAGAUACAGGACAUAGCAACACGGUGUUGUGGCCCCCCUACCCAGAGCUGAGUUCUGACAGUAAUGAAUUAGUUUACUUUUUAUUUAAUUCAGCUAUUCUGGAAGUGGUGUUGUGGAGUUGGCCAGGGGGCGGCGUGUGGGGCCGGACACCUGCACCAGGUGGCCGGAAACAGGUCACAGGGACGGUCUAUUUCGGGAAACAAGUAAACAGACUUGGCAAAUUUAUAGCUUAUGGUUAUGAAGAAAUGGUUUUCGGGAGGUUUUGCUCAGCCCUGCGAGUCUCAAAAACAACACCUGCAUAAUUUGCAUUUCUAAAAUAAGACCGAGAUGCUGGCAGAAGCUGGAACAGUUCCUCUUUUAACGAUUUGAAUUUAAUUCUUCAGUCUUCGCUUGCCAACAUCUCAUUUAUACUCAUUUUGAAACUAAGACAUGUAAGAAAUGAGAAGUCUGGGGGACAGUUUAUCAAUGCAUUCAUGUUAACUUUUUAAAUUAGUUAUUUCCUCAAACAGUCAUUAAUCUCAAACAUUUUCUAACACCCCGAAGCAUUGUUUUCAUAAUUACUGUGUUCUAAAUAUUUUAAGUUGGUUGAUUUUCUCUUCGUGAUUAAGAAGCAUUUAGAUAUCCUGAUAAAGUGGCCUUCAUUCAUGUCAGCACUUUCAAGACUGCUUUUUGAGCACUCUUGUUGGGACAUGUUUUAGGCGAAGCGUGUGUGCUGAUUGUCCUGAAUGAUUUCAGUGAAGAGUGUUGGUUGUUGGAGUAAGAGGAAGCCCAGUCAGGUCUCGAAUCAGAAAGGAAUUCAGGUCGGCUCCUGAGCUGAAGGAGCCCCAGUGGAGGGUCCACCUGCCCCCCCGCCCCCCCGGGGCUGCCGUGGCUUCUGCCAACUGGCUAUUCAUCAAAGAGCCAAUUUUAAUGGAUUUGGAGGAAUUCUUCAAUACCAAAGACCCCACGGGACUGUCUGGUGACCAGGGAGCCAAAAUGCCUCCGGAGAAGCACUGCACGUGUUCCCCUUGGUCUCGGGGUGUCAAGCCCCGAAAGAAGGCGACCCCGUAGUCCUGGCCUGCUUGGCAAGAGGAUACUCCCGAGAGUCAGUGCAGGUGACCUUGGUUUCGGGGAAGCAGGACCAGGCCACAAAGACCAAUCUCUUCAUGCUGAAGGCACAAGACAACGUUGAGCUGUCCUUCCUGACCGCCCGGUGGAAGCCAGACCCCCACCAGUGCAGCACCGCCAGCGGCAAGCUGCAGAAGGCCUUCCGGUGGCCAGCAUCUUGGGAAACUAAGACCCCCCUGUCGACUCUUGGGCCAACCCCAUCAGAGGACUCCACCACAGUGCCCAGCACUGCCAGGGUCUCAGCGCCUUCCACCAGCCACACCCAGGCGCAAACCAGAGAGCCGGAAAGGCCAGCGGACGCCAGUCUCAGAGAGUGUCGGAACCACACCAGCCCUCCCAGCCUCUACCUGCCACAGCCUCCCCUGCAGGGCCCAUGGCUCAAGGGACAGGCCACCUUCACCUGCCUGGCAGUGGGGGCUGGCCUUCAGGAGGCCCGCUUGUCCUGGGAGGUGGCCGGGGCGCCCCUGCACGCGGGGGUGGACAGUGGGCCGCUGGAGGAGAGUGCCAAUGGUUCCCAGAGCCUGAGAAGCCGCCUGGACUUGCCCGUGGCCUCCUGGGCCUCGGGAGCCAACAUCACCUGCACGCUGAGCGGCCCGGACGUGCCUUCCCAAGUGGUGUCCGCAGCUCCCAAGGAACACGCUGCCUCUGCGCCCAGCAGCCUCACGGUCCACGUCCUGACUGUGUCCAGAGCAGCCUCCUGGCUCCUGUGCAAGGUGUCCGGCUUCUCGCCCCCAGACGUCCUCCUCACCUGGCUAAGGGACCAGGUCCAGGUAGACUCUGCUUCCUUUGCCACUGCACCCCCCGCAGCUGAGCUGGGGAGCAGCACCUUCGAGACCUGGAGCGUCCUGCACAUCCACACGGCCCAGGCCCCUCGCCCGGACACCUACACGUGUGUGGUCCGGCACGAGGCCUCCCGAAGGUUGCUCAACGCCAGCUGGAGCCCAGACACGGCCAUGGCCUCCUUGAGGGUGUCUUCCUGCCGGCCGUGCCCGCACAGCCCAGCCUUGCUGCCCAGCACCGGGAUGCGUGCGCUUCCAGUGAGGAUGUCACAGAUAGCGAAGGCAGCGUGGCAAGCGGGAACAGCAGGACGGCGCCACACGCACUUUAUUAACCAGCUUUAUUUAAAGUCACUGAAGAGCUGAGGGCUCAGAGAAGCCCAGCUGACCUGGCUCCUGGGCAAGACAACAUUGUUGGCCACGUUACCCCCACCCUGGACACCGACGGACACGGUUACAUUACCCCCACCCUGGGCACAGGCCGACAGAGGUGUUGGCAUCCAGGGAGGAGAGAGGCCUGAGGGAAUCAGUCAAGGCUUUAACAUCCACAUGGGCUGACAUGAGGCAUAAGAGUAGGGAUGAGCCCCAACUGUGUCCCCUCCACCACUGACUGCCCCAGACAGGACCUGUGCUCAGAGCUGGGACAGAUCUGCAGUCCUGCAUGGUGCUUGGACUCUGAAGCCCAGUGGAGGGCCCUGACCCACCCCAAACAUCGGAGUUGAAGCCAACUGUCCUGACAUCCCACCGGCUCAAGUCCUGAUUCGAUAGACCACGUGUGCCC